ACGCCAAUAAUCGAUCAACGGCCUUCUAAGCCGUAGGUCACAGGUUCGAGCCCUGUAGGGCGUA
Molecule: transfer RNA, 64 nt
Filed under: Serratia odorifera DSM 4582
Lineage: Bacteria; Pseudomonadati; Pseudomonadota; Gammaproteobacteria; Enterobacterales; Yersiniaceae
Rfam family: tRNA
About the family: Transfer RNA (tRNA) molecules are approximately 80 nucleotides in length. Their secondary structure includes four short double-helical elements and three loops (D, anti-codon, and T loops). Further hydrogen bonds mediate the characteristic L-shaped molecular structure. tRNAs have two regions of fundamental functional importance: the anti-codon, which is responsible for specific mRNA codon recognition, and the 3' end, to which the tRNAs corresponding amino acid is attached (by aminoacyl-tRNA synthetases). tRNAs cope with the degeneracy of the genetic code in two manners: having more than one tRNA (with a specific anti-codon) for a particular amino acid; and 'wobble' base-pairing, i.e. permitting non-standard base-pairing at the 3rd anti-codon position.
Source: Rfam by way of RNAcentral